UCCCCGAUUUCCGGGGCAGUCUCCCUAGAGUGCCCUUGCGUAGCAACUAGGGACAAGGGUUGCGCUCGUUGCGGGACUUAACCCAACAUCUCACGACACGAGCUGACGACAGCCAUGCAGCACCUGUGUUCCGAUUCCCUUUCAGGCACACCCACCUUUCAGCAGGCUCUCGGACAUGUCAAGGGUAGGUAAGGUUGUUCGCGUUGCAUCGAAUUAAUCCACAUCAUCCACCGCUUGUGCGGGUCCCCGUCAAUUCCUUUGAGUUUUAGUCUUGCGACCGUACUCCCCAGGCGGAAUGCUUAAUGGGUUACCUACGGUACCGCAGGGGUCAAUACCCGCGACACCUAGCAUUCAUCGUUUACGGCGUGGACUAC
Molecule: unclassified non-coding RNA, 374 nt
Filed under: uncultured Gammaproteobacteria bacterium
Lineage: Bacteria; Pseudomonadati; Pseudomonadota; Gammaproteobacteria
Description: contains 16S-23S intergenic spacer region
Source: RNAcentral